UCUAAAUCAACAAUUUUGAGAGGACCGUUGUUGGUGCGCUUUGUAAAUUCUAGUUGAUGCAAUAAAGUCAAGUUCAUUUGAUCUACGUCUUCGACUUUCAUUUACUAGUAAUUUUCUGGAUUCUGACGAUCUGAUCGGCGCUGGUGACUUUCUGGAUUUCGACGAUCUGAUCGGCAGCACAGGAGUGGCGAGAUAAAGGUAGCGGUGGCAUAAGGAGCAAGGCGAUCAAGAUAUUCUUCGACAGAGAGGAGAAAGGAUAUCGUGCGUGCGUCGUUGGACGGAGAACGUGGUUUGUCUCAUGGACAUGGGUUGGGCUGGGCUGGGUUUUUUACGCAUGGAGCAAAAAAGCACAUCUCUAAUUUCUAUUGGAUCACUGAUAAAUAAUUUUGAAUGUUUUGUCCAUUAUCUUGUUUUGAUACAGCAUUGUAGUGUGUUUCUCACUAUCACUGAUUCUGGUUAAU
This is a long non-coding RNA of Oryza brachyantha (malo sina), 461 nucleotides long. RefSeq lists it as uncharacterized. The record is from RefSeq and is a predicted model, not a curated record. The transcript has 3 exons. NCBI's taxonomy places the organism in Eukaryota, Viridiplantae, Streptophyta, Magnoliopsida, Poales, Poaceae.